Molecule: ribosomal RNA, 254 nt
Filed under: uncultured bacterium
Lineage: Bacteria
Description: partial 16S ribosomal RNA
Rfam family: Bacterial small subunit ribosomal RNA
Source: RNAcentral
UACAGGGGGUGCAAACGUUGCUCGGAAUUAUUGGGCGUAAAGAGCUCGUAGGCGGCUCGGUAAGUCGGAUGUGAAACCUCCAGGCUCAACCUGGAGACGCCAUCUGAUACUGCCGUGGCUUGAGUCCGGUAGAGGAGCAGGGAAUUCCUGGUGUAGCGGUGAAAUGCGCAGAUAUCAGGAGGAACACCAGCGGCGAAGGCGCUGCUCUGGGCCGGUACUGACGCUGAGGAGCGAAAGCGUGGGGAGCGAACAGG